RNAcentral lists this ribosomal RNA (491 nucleotides) under uncultured bacterium. RNAcentral describes it as "partial 16S ribosomal RNA". It matches the Rfam family "Bacterial small subunit ribosomal RNA", at positions 28 to 507 of the family's 1533-position model. The record is from RNAcentral.
GAUGAACGCUGGCUACAGGCUUAACACAUGCAAGUCGAGGGGAAACGACGGGGAAGCUUGCUUCCCCGGGCGUCGACCGGCGCACGGGUGAGUAACGCGUAUCCAACCUGCCUCUGACUGAGGGAUAACCCGUCGAAAGUCGGCCUAAUACCUCAUGGCAUCGUCUGCGGGCAUCCAACGACGAUUAAAGAUUUCAUCGGUCAGGGAUGGGGAUGCGUCUGAUUAGCUAGUUGGCGGGGUAACGGCCCACCAAGGCGACGAUCAGUAGGGGUUCUGAGAGGAAGGUCCCCCACAUUGGAACUGAGACACGGUCCAAACUCCUACGGGAGGCAGCAGUGAGGAAUAUUGGUCAAGGGGCGAGAGCCUGAACCAGCCAAGUAGCGUGCAGGAUGACGGCCCUAUGGGUUGUAAACUGCUUUUAUGCGGGGAUAAAGUGAGGGACGUGUCCUUCAUUGCAGGUACCGCAUGAAUAAGGACCGGCUAAUUCCGUG